RNAcentral lists this ribosomal RNA (253 nucleotides) under uncultured bacterium. RNAcentral describes it as "partial 16S ribosomal RNA". It matches the Rfam family "Bacterial small subunit ribosomal RNA", at positions 524 to 776 of the family's 1533-position model. The record is from RNAcentral.
GACGUAGGGGGCCAGCGUUGCUCGGAAUUACUGGGCGUAAAGGGUCCGUAGGCGGUGUGGCAAGUCGGGAGUGAAAUCUCUGGGCUUAACUCAGAGGCUGCUUCCGAAACUGCUGUGCUUGAGUGUGGGAGAGGCGCGUGGAAUUGCAGGUGUAGCGGUGAAAUGCGUAGAUAUCUGCAGGAACACCCGUGGCGAAGGCGGCGCGCUGGACCACUACUGACGCUGAGGGACGAAAGCUAGGGGAGCAAACAGG